GGUCUAAUACUUCAUAAUAUCCAUCUCGUAUGGAUUAAAGCUUUAUGCGCUUUGGGAGGGGCCUGCGUAACAUUAGCUUGUUGGUGAGGUAAAAGCUCACCAAGGCUUCGAUGUUUAACUGGUUUGAGAGGAUGACCAGUCACACUGGGACUGAGAUACGGCCCAGACUCCUACGGGAGGCAGCAGUAAGGAAUCUUCCACAAUGGGGCAACCCUGAUGGAGCAAUACCGCGUGCAGGAUGAAGCGUUUCGGCGUGUAAACUGCUUUUAUCACCGAAGAUUAUGACUGUAGGUGAAGAAUAAGGACCGGCUAACUACGUG
RNAcentral lists this ribosomal RNA (320 nucleotides) under uncultured bacterium. RNAcentral's name for it is "bacterial SSU rRNA". It matches the Rfam family "Bacterial small subunit ribosomal RNA", at positions 160 to 507 of the family's 1533-position model. The record is from RNAcentral.